GAUGAAGAACGUAGCGAAAUGCGAUAAGUAAUGUGAAUUGCAGAAUUCAGUGAAUCAUCGAAUCUUUGAACGCACAUUGCGCCCCCUGGUAUUCCGGGGGGCAUGCCUGUCCGAGCGUCAUUACAACCCUCAAGCUCAGCUUGGUGUUGGGCCCCGCCGCCCCGGCGGGCCCUAAAGUCAGUGGCGGUGCCGUCCGGCUCCGAGCGUAGUAAUUCUUCUCGCUCUGGAGGCCCGGUCGUGCGCUCGCCAGCAACCCCCAAUUUUUUUCAGGUUGACCUCGGAUCAGGUAGGGAUACCCGCUGAACUUAAGCAUAUCAAUAAGCGGAGGA
RNAcentral lists this unclassified non-coding RNA (329 nucleotides) under soil metagenome. RNAcentral describes it as "partial contains 5.8S ribosomal RNA, internal transcribed spacer 2, and large subunit ribosomal RNA". The stretch from base 1 to 120 matches the Rfam family "5.8S ribosomal RNA", at positions 35 to 154 of the family's 154-position model. The record is from RNAcentral.